Molecule: ribosomal RNA, 279 nt
Filed under: uncultured bacterium
Lineage: Bacteria
Description: partial 16S ribosomal RNA
Rfam family: Bacterial small subunit ribosomal RNA
Source: RNAcentral
UGCCAGCCGCCGCGGUAACACGGGGGGCGCAAGCGUUAUUCGGAAUUAUUGGGCGUAAAGGGCGCGCAGGCGGCCUUGUCCGUCAGGUGUGAAAGCUCGGGGCUCAACUCCGAAACUGCGUCUGAAACUAUUAAUCUAGGAUCUCGGAGGGGGAUGGGGAAUUUCUCAUGUAGGGGUAAAAUCCGUAGAUAUUCGGAGGAACACCAGUGGCGAAGGCGGCUUUCUGGACCGAUACUGACGCUGAGACGCGAAAGCGUGGGGAGCAAACAGGAUUAGAUA